UGUGGUGACGAUGGCGAGAAGGAUACACCUGUUCCCAUGUCGAACACAGAAGUUAAGCUUCUUAGCGCCGAGAGUAGUUGGGGGAUCGCUC
This 91-nucleotide ribosomal RNA is filed under the name Lactiplantibacillus plantarum. Lineage: Bacteria; Bacillati; Bacillota; Bacilli; Lactobacillales; Lactobacillaceae. The record is from RNAcentral.